Molecule: ribosomal RNA, 282 nt
Filed under: Paraburkholderia tropica
Lineage: Bacteria; Pseudomonadati; Pseudomonadota; Betaproteobacteria; Burkholderiales; Burkholderiaceae
Description: partial 16S ribosomal RNA
Rfam family: Bacterial small subunit ribosomal RNA
Source: RNAcentral
GGUUAAAUCCCGCAACGAGCGCAACCCUUGUUCCUAGCUGCUUCGCAAGAGCACUCAAGGGAGACUGCCGGUGACAAACCGGAGGAAGGUGGGGAUGACGUCAAGUCCUCAUGGCCCUUAUGGGUAGGGCUUCACACGUCAUACAAUGGUCGGAACAGAGGGUAGCAAGCCGCGAGGUGGAGCCAAUCCCAGAAAACCGAUCGUAGUCCGGAUCGCAGUCUGCAACUCGACUGCGUGAAGCUGGAAUCGCUAGUAAUCGUGGAUCAGCAUGUCAGCGGGAAU